CCUACGGGAGGCUGCAGUGGGGAAUAUUGCACAAUGGGCGCAAGCCUGAUGCAGCCAUGCCGCGUGUGCGAAGAAGGCCUUCGGGUUGUAAAGCACUUUCAGCGGGGAGGAAGGCGGUGAGGUUAAAAACCUCAUCGAUUGACGUUACCCGCAGAAGAAGCACCGGCUAACUCCGUGCCAGCAGCCGCGGUAAUACGGAGGGUGCAAGCGUUAAUCGGAAUUACUGGGCGUAAAGCGCACGCAGGCGGUCUGUCAAGUCGGAUGUGAAAUCCCCGGGCUCAACCUGGGAACUGCAUUCGAAACUGGCAGGCUAGAGUCUUGUAGAGGGGGGUAGAAUUCCAGGUGUAGCGGUGAAAUGCGUAGAGAUCUGGAGGAAUACCGGUGGCGAAGGCGGCCCCCUGGACAAAGACUGACGCUCAGGUGCGAAAGCGUGGGGAGCAAACAGGAUUAGAUACCCGGGUAGUC
This 465-nucleotide ribosomal RNA is filed under the name uncultured Klebsiella sp. RNAcentral describes it as "bacterial SSU rRNA". It matches the Rfam family "Bacterial small subunit ribosomal RNA", at positions 338 to 795 of the family's 1533-position model. The record is from RNAcentral. Lineage: Bacteria; Pseudomonadati; Pseudomonadota; Gammaproteobacteria; Enterobacterales; Enterobacteriaceae.